Long non-coding RNA from Musca vetustissima, 306 nucleotides. RefSeq lists it as uncharacterized. NCBI's taxonomy places the organism in Eukaryota, Metazoa, Arthropoda, Insecta, Diptera, Muscidae. The record is from RefSeq and is a predicted model, not a curated record. The transcript is spliced from 2 exons.
UAACAACAUUUUAUAUAGAAAAUAUGUCCGAUAACAACUAUUUCUACAGAAAAGUUGUCAGAUAACAACUAUUGCUAAAAAAAGUUGUCUGAUAAAAACAUUUUCUAUAGAAAAAUGUUCCGAUAACAACAUUUUCUAUAGAAAAGUUGUCCGAUAACAGUAUUUUCUAUAGAAAAUUGUCCGAUAAUAACAUUUUCUAUAGGAAAAUUGUCCGAUAACAACAUUUUCAAUAGAAAAGUUGUCCGAUAACUACCUUUUCUAUAGAAAAGUUGUCCGAUAACAACCCUUUCUAUAGAAAAGAUAUCC